UCAACCAAAUCAAACGUUGAUGCUUUGAAAAAUCCUACAAAUGGACAAAACUUUAUUGAAAGGCAAAAUGAGGCAAAUAAAAUCAGAAAUGAAAGUGAGACAUUAUUAAAUACAAAGGGUUAUAUGGGCAGGUGUAGACAAUCAUAAGUUACCAAAGUGGAUGACCUACAGGAAAUGGACAGACUCCUGGAAACAUGUAGUCCACCAAAACGGACUCAGAAAAAAGUGGAAAAUUUGAAUAGAUCUAGAAAAGAACAGAAAUUGAGUUAGAAAUAAAAAAAAAACCUCUCAGUAAAGUACAGUCAAGUACCAAAUGGCCUCACUGGUGAAUUCUACCAAAUGUUUAAAGAAAAUUGACACCAUUUUUCAAGGAGGAGGAGGAGGGGAAGGAAUUAACUUAUCCUGUGAGGACUAUAUUACUCCGAUACCAAGGCCAGGCAAAGACUAUAAGAAAACCAGAGUCCAAUAUCCUUAAUAUGAAUGCAACAGUCAUUCACAAAACACUAGCAAAAUGUAACCAAGGCAAAUUAACAGGAUUAUGUACCGUAACAAGGGGGAUUUGUCAUAGGAAUGCAAGGGCAAGUCCACAUAAGAAAAUCAAUCAUGUAUUAGACCAUAUUAAUAGAACAGAGGAAAAAAGCCACAUAAUCAUCUCAGUUGCAAUGAUGAAAAAUAAAAGUGAUUUGACAUAAUCCAACACAGUUUCAUGAUGAAAAGACUUGGACAACUACAAACAGGAGGGAACUUCCCUGACCUGAUGAAGGGAAUUUAUGAUAAACUCUCAGCUAGCACACCCAGUGGCAAAGACUGAAAAUUCUCCCCCUGUGAUCAGGAAAAAGGCAAAGAUGCCCGUUUCCUACUAUUAUUCAAAUUGUACUGGGAGCCCUGACCAAGACAAUUAGGCAAGAAAAAAAAUCAAAAGCAUCCAGAUUGAAAAGGAAGAAGUCAAACUACCUCUAUUUUCAGAUGACACAUCCUAGAUACAGAAAAUCCUACAGAAUCUAACAACCAAAGCUCAUCAAUGAAUCCCAAAGUUUGGGGAUAAAAGAUCAACCCACAGAAAUCAGUUGUGACACAUUAGCAAUGAAUACUCUGAAUAGGAAGUCAUAAAGCAAUUUCAUUUACAAUAGUAUUCUAAAAGAAUAAAACACUUAGGAAUAAAUGUAACCACAGCCAUGAAACUAUAAAGCACUUAUGAAACAAACUGAAGACCUAAAUAAAUGGAAAGACCACCCCAUGUUUGUGUGUUAGAAAACUUAAUAUUGUUAAGAGGCAAUGCUACCUACAGUGAUCUACAGAUUUAACACAGUCCCUAUAAAAAUUCCAACAGCUUUUCUUGCAGAAAUGGAAAGGAUAAUCCUCCAAGUCACAGGGAAUUGUAAGGGGCUUCAAAUAGCCAAGACAGUAUUGAAAAAGAAGAAUUAAUUGGGAGAACUCACCUUUCUGACUUUCAAACUUACCUCAAAGCUAUGGUCCUCAAAAUGGCAUGGUAGAGGUAUAAGGAUAGACAUAUAGGUAAAUGGAAUUAAACCAGUACAUCUAUGGCUAAUUGAUUUUUGACAAGGAUGCCAAGACCAUUUAAUGGGGAAAGAACGGUGUUUUCAACAAUGGUGCUGGGAUAACCACAUGCAAAAAUGAAAUUGGAGGCCUACUUCAAAAAUCAGUUCAGAAUGGUCCAGUGACCUCCAUGAAAGUGCUAAGAGACUUGACCUUCUCAGGAGGAAAUACCAGGACACACUUUAGGACCUUGGAUUGGCAAUGGAGUGUUGGAUAUGACACCUGAAACUUGAGCAACUGAAGAGAAAAAUAAAUAAAUGGGACUUUAUAAAAACUAAAGACCUUUGUGUAUCCAAGGACUUUAUCAAAAAAGAAAAAAGACAACCCACAGACGGGGAGAAAAAAUUUUGCCAGUCACAGACAUUUCUCCAAAGAAAACAUACUAAUGUUCAAUAAGCACAUGGAAACAUAUUCAGCAUUAAUCAUUAGGGAAAUGUAAAUCAAAAUCACAGUGAGAGAGGAUUUCACAGCAACCAGGAUAAUAAGCAAGAAAAAAAACAAGUGUUGACAAGGAUGUUAGGAGAAUUGAACCAUGUGUAUUUCUGAGGGAAUGAAAACUCAUUUAGUCACUGGUAAAAGUUCAGUGGUUCCUCCAACAAAUGAACAGACUUAAGUUAGGUCUAGGCAAUUCCGCUCUGGGGUGUAGAUGCUGAAGAACUGCUCAGAGGUGUUUCUCAACACUCCCUGUGCACACAGGUUCACAGCAGCUCUAUUUGCAAUACCCCAAAUGUGGAGACAAUCCGAAUGUCCAUCAGCAGAAGAAAGGCUGGGCACAGUGUGGUGCAUGCAGAUAAUGGGCAUCUUCCCCCCAUUGAAAGGGAUGGCACCCUGAAGCAGGCUACAUGGGGCAGGAGCCUGGAAGGCCACCAGGUGGAAAAGGCCAAACACAGAGGUCACACAGAACUUGGCUUUAAUUCUAUAAAGUGUCCAGAAUAAGCAAAUCCACUGAGACAGAAAGCAGACCGUAGUGGCCAGAGUCGGGGGCCAGGGUGUGGAAUAGGAGAUAACUGAUUGAUGGACGUGGAGUUUCUUUUUAGAGAGAUGAAAAUAUUUUGGAACUCGAUAAAGGAUGUGGUUGCCAAUCAUCACGAAUGUUCUGAAAGUCAGUGAGUUGAAAACUUUAAAACGGUUACUUUUAUGUUAUGUGAGUUUUACCUCAUUUUUUAAAAAAAUGUAUACUUUACCAAGGUAUGAUUUUCAUGCAAUAAAAUUCAUCCAGGAUUUGAUAUUUAUGCACAGCCACGUAAUGACCACUUCAGUCAUGAUGUAGAGCACUCCCAUCACCCACAAAUUUCCUCCAUGCUCCUUCCCAGACGCACCACCAGCUAUAGCACCCACCCCACUGUCCACCGAUCUGCUUUCUCACUCCAUAAAUUGGUGUUCCCUGUUUGAGAACUCCUUAUGAGUCAAAUGAGUUCUUUUGUGGCUAACUUCUUUUACUCAACAUGCUUUUGAGGUUUGUCCAUUUUGUUCAGUGAUUUUUCUCCUUUUUACAUGCUGAACAGAUUCCCUGGUAUGACCCAGCCACGAUUUUUUUUUUUUUUACCCAGUUGUCCAUUGAAUUUUUAUUCCUGAAUUUUGACAAUUAUGAAUACAGCUGCUAUGAACAUCUGUGUCAAACUCCUGAUGUGUUCAUAUUUUCAUUUCAUGGCUAAAUAGCCACAAAUGGAAUUGUCAGGCAAUAAAGUAAGUGUGUGCUUAACUUUAUAUAUAUUUUAAAGCUUCAUGUUAUUUGCAGAGUUUGAGCUAUUUUUCACUCCCAUUUGUGGUAUCUUAGUAUCAGCUGUUCCACAACACGCCAAGUCUGGCUCCAAUCAGUCUUUUUAAUUUGGGACAACCUAAUAGGCAUAGUUUUCAUGUGCAAUUCUGUAAUGAAUGAUGUUGAACAUCUUUUUACAUUCAUUUGCCAUUUAUGUAUUUUCUUUAGUGAAAUGUCCACAUUUUUGGCUUAUUUUCCAACUGGGUUUUAGAAUUAUUGACUUGUGUUCUUGCCACAGCCCUUUAUUAAGUAGAGCUAUUUUCAAAUGUUUUCGCCCAGUCAAUAACUUAUUCUCUUGAAAGUCUUUCAAAGGGUCUGUUUUCUUGGUUUUAAUAAAAUCCAACUUAUCCGUAUCUUAUUUUUUCUAUUAUGUAUCAUGUUUUUGAUAACUUAAGAAACCUUUGCCUAGUACAAUGCCACAAAGAUUUUCUCCUAUGUUUUUCUGGUCUUCUGUGGUUUUAUAUUAUACACUGGCCUGUGAGCCAUUUGGAGUUAAUUCUUGUGCAGAGUACAGGGUACAGCUGGAGGCUGGAUCUCCCAGCCUCACGUCUUCUCCUGGGGAGACUUCUCUGUAUUCUGUCCUUGUAACAUGAUCUUGAAGUCCCUCCAAGGGUCACACUGGGAAGUCACAGGCUUUACCCCCUUGGUCUCAGAGUUUCUCUUCUUCCUUGCCUGAUGCCCAGUGCCCCUAAAGCCAUCGUUUCAUACAUGGUGUCCAUUUUUGUAGUUUCCAGCAUCGUGGUAAAUGUAAUCCCAACUCCGUCGUCGCCAGAAACAUCCCAGAUAUCUUUUGUAAUUUUUUUCUAAUUUAUUUUUGUUGUGACCAGAAAACAUAACCUGAAUUAUUUUGGUACUUUAAAAUUUGCAAAAAAAAAAAAAAAAGUUUAUGCCCUAUUAAAUGCGGGGUGUCUGGUGAAUGGUCUGUUUACUUGGAAAGCGUGUAUCCCCUGUGGUUGGGUGAAGGGUCUACACAUGCCAACAGGGUCAAGCUGCUCGAUCGUACUCUUCAUGCCUUCUUUCUUUCUUUUUUUGUUUUCAAACUGAGACACAAACUUGUUAUUAUUUAUGGACUACCGUGCAAUGCUUCAACACACAUACAGAUUACAUAAGGUUCAAAUCAGGGUAAGAACAUCCACCUUCGUCGACAUUUAUCUUUUGUUGUUGUUGUAAAAACAUUCAAAGUGUGAAAUAUGAUAGAUCAAGAACUAUGUUAUGUUUUGAACAGCCAACAAUAAAAAAUUAAAAAAAAAAUAACCCACUUGAAUCAAAGUGUGGAAUAUGAUAUGUCAAGAAAUUUGUAAUGUUUUGAAC
This 4627-nucleotide long non-coding RNA is filed under the name Marmota monax (woodchuck). The record is from RNAcentral. Lineage: Eukaryota; Metazoa; Chordata; Mammalia; Rodentia; Sciuridae.